GACGAACGCUGGCGGCGUGCUUAACACAUGCAAGUCGAACGGAAAGGCCCUGCUUUUGUGGGGUGCUCGAGUGGCGAACGGGUGAGUAACACGUGAGUAACCUGCCCUUGACUUUGGGAUAACUUCAGGAAACUGGGGCUAAUACCGGAUAGGAGCUCCUGCUGCGUGGUGGGGGUUGGAAAGUUUCGGCGGUUGGGGAUGGACUCGCGGCUUAUCAGCUUGUUGGUGGGGUAGUGGCUUACCAAGGCUUUGACGGGUAGCCGGCCUGAGAGGGUGACCGGCCACAUUGGGACUGAGAUACGGCCCAGACUCCUACGGGAGGCAGCAGUGGGGAAUAUUGCACAAUGGGCGGAAGCCUGAUGCAGCGACGCCGCGUGCAGGAUGACGGCCUUCGGGUUGUAAACCGCUUUCGCCUGUGACGAAGCGUGAGUGACGGUAAUGGGUAAAGAAGCACCGGCUAACUACGUG
This 468-nucleotide ribosomal RNA is filed under the name uncultured bacterium. RNAcentral's name for it is "partial 16S ribosomal RNA". It matches the Rfam family "Bacterial small subunit ribosomal RNA", at positions 28 to 507 of the family's 1533-position model. The record is from RNAcentral.